This 253-nucleotide ribosomal RNA is filed under the name uncultured bacterium. Its description in RNAcentral is "partial 16S ribosomal RNA". It matches the Rfam family "Bacterial small subunit ribosomal RNA", at positions 524 to 776 of the family's 1533-position model. The record is from RNAcentral.
UACGUAGGGUGCAAGCGUUGUCCGGAAUUAUUGGGCGUAAAGAGCUCGUAGGCGGUUUGUUGCGUCGGCUGUGAAAUCCCGAGGCUCAACCUCGGGUCUGCAGUCGAUACGAGCAAACUAGAGUGUUGCAGGGGAGACUGGAAUUUCUGGUGUAGCGGUGAAAUGCGCAGAUAUCAGGAGGAACACCGGUGGCGAAGGCGGUUCUCUGGGAAUGACCUGACGCUGAGGAGCGAAAGUGUGGGGAGCGAACAGG